RNAcentral lists this ribosomal RNA (494 nucleotides) under uncultured bacterium. Its description in RNAcentral is "partial 16S ribosomal RNA". It matches the Rfam family "Bacterial small subunit ribosomal RNA", at positions 29 to 507 of the family's 1533-position model. The record is from RNAcentral.
ACGAACGCUGGCGGCGUGCCUAAUACAUGCAAGUAGAACGCUGAAGGAGGAGCUUGCUUCUCUGGAUGAGUUGCGAACGGGUGAGUAACGCGUAGGUAACCUGCCUGGUAGCGGGGGAUAACUAUUGGAAACGAUAGCUAAUACCGCAUAAUAGUAGAUGUUGCAUGACAUUUGCUUAAAAGGUGCAAUUGCAUCACUACCAGAUGGACCUGCGUUGUAUUAGCUAGUUGGUGGGGUAACGGCUCACCAAGGCGACGAUACAUAGCCGACCUGAGAGGGUGAUCGGCCACACUGGGACUGAGACACGGCCCAGACUCCUACGGGAGGCAGCAGUAGGGAAUCUUCGGCAAUGGACGGAAGUCUGACCGAGCAACGCCGCGUGAGUGAAGAAGGGUUUCGGAUCGUAAAGCUCGGUUGUAAGAGAAGAACGAGUGUGAGAGUGGAAAGUUCACACUGUGACGGUAUCUUACCAGAAAGGGACGGCUAACUACGUG